AUACGGAGGGUGCAAGCGUUGUUCGGAAUCACCGGGCGUAAAGGGCGCGCAGGCGGUUUGGUAAGUCAGAUGUGAAAGCCCACGGCUCAACCGUGGAAGUGCAUUUGAAACUGUCAGACUUGAGUACUAGAGGGGAAAGUGGAAUUCCCGGUGUAGAGGUGAAAUUCGUAGAUAUCGGGAGGAAUACCGGUGGCGAAGGCGACUUUCUGGCUAGAUACUGACGCUGAGGCGCGAAAGCGUGGGGAGCAAACAGGAUUAGAAACCCGGGUAGUCC
Molecule: ribosomal RNA, 274 nt
Filed under: uncultured bacterium
Lineage: Bacteria
Description: partial 16S ribosomal RNA
Rfam family: Bacterial small subunit ribosomal RNA
Source: RNAcentral